This 278-nucleotide ribosomal RNA is filed under the name uncultured bacterium. RNAcentral describes it as "partial 16S ribosomal RNA". It matches the Rfam family "Bacterial small subunit ribosomal RNA", at positions 29 to 334 of the family's 1533-position model. The record is from RNAcentral.
AACGAACGCUGGCGGCAUGCCUAACACACGCAAGUCGAACGAGACCUUCGGGUCUAGUGGCGCACGGGUGCGUAACGCGUGGGAAUCUGCCCUUGGGUUCGGAAUAACUCGCCGAAAGGCGUGCUAAUACCGGAUGAUGUCGUAAGACCAAAGAUUUAUCGCUGAAAGAUGGCCUCGCGUCCCAUUAGCUAGUAGGCGGGGUAACGGCCCACCUAGGCGACGAUGGGUAGCCGGACUGAGAGGUUGACCGGCCACAUUGGGACUGAGAUACGGCCCAG